This 1619-nucleotide long non-coding RNA is filed under the name Homo sapiens (human). RNAcentral's name for it is "HSALNT0321843". The record is from RNAcentral. Lineage: Eukaryota; Metazoa; Chordata; Mammalia; Primates; Hominidae.
GCUGGACUUCAUUUGCCUGAAGGAAGCAGUGCAUUUUUCUAACUUGUGUGAAGACAUUGUAUGGACUAGCUGUGGCCCUGGAGCCAUGUAUGUGGAUGGGGUCGGCCUCACUGAACCACUGAGACUGUGAGUGGGAGAGGGAUAGUCCUCUGAAUGAAAAUUAGGUUCACCUUCUAUAAGGGAGAAUGGAUGCGCAAGCAGAACUAUUGGAUAUACAUUACAGAAAGUAAUGCCAUUACUGUAAUUCUGAAUCUUGCCUUGUAGAGCAACUCGACUCUUUAAGUCUACUCAACUCAGCUCAACGCAAUCCAACAAUUAUUUUUUAUAGGCCAAAGUGUGUGUGUGUGUGUGUUUGCACACACACCUGUGUGCUGGGUAGGGAGGUGUUACCAAAAGAAAAGACCUACCUUCAAAAAGCAUAAAGUAUUCUGAUUUUAAGCCACGCCAACUAUGAAAGUUUUUCUUAAAUUCGACUCUGUUAUACCAAAUAAAUUAAAAAUUAUGCAAAAUUAAAGAUGGUAGCAUGUUUCUUUAGUUGCUUUUUAGCAAAAUAAUCUGUGUAUUUCAGUGAAUUACACAACUAUUAGAUGUUCAAAUACGAUUAUAUUCUGGUUAACUUACAAAAUUAGGAGUUGAAAAAUUAUUUACUUCAUUAUAUUUGUUAUAGAUAUAUCAGUCCUUAUUUCCUAACAGUCUGAAAUAGCAGCCAAAUAUAGCUCCUGUAGAAGGUCAUCUUAGGUUUUCAGGUGACUUUUAAUUACCACGUAGCUUUAAACUACUACUAGUAACUCAUCGUUUAAAAAAAUUAAAUUAGCCUUUUAUUUCUGUAAAGAAAACUCACCUUUACUCUCCCUUUACUGUCCUGUAGGAAUUUUAACAGGACAUGCAUUAACUUUAGACCUUAGGGAAAGCACAAAAUAAACAGCAAACUGAUAAUAUUAUCUCGCCAAAGUAAAACAAGGGAUGGAGGCGUGGGGAGAGACGGCGGGCGGUAACUAAGUGCCAAACGGGAUUUGUUUUUACUUAAACGUUUACAGAGCAUCCGCGAGAACUUCCUUCUAAGCUAAAUAUGUCAUCUAGCACCUGAAAAAAUUUAAGUCUGGUUCUUUCUGGAUAAAAGAAAGCGCACAGGAUUUAAGUAGCUGUAUAACAUUUCACAAGAUGAAUGUACCACAAAUUUUAAUCCUUCUAUUGUUGAUGGAUUUGGAUUAUUACCAACUUUUGGCCUUUGAGCCAGUCUAGGAUUCACGAUGUAACCAUGGAGCAGAUGCUUUGAGGUGAAUGACAUUUCCAGCAUUGAAGGACAGCAUAGACACGGAAAUACAUUUUAUGGCGUGCCAGUGGGUGUGGUGGGUCUCAGGGAUGCAAGGUGGGUGAGACUCCCUGUCUGUUCCUGAGGAGCUCUGGUGAGUGGGAAGGAGAAGGGAACACUCGAAGAGCAUGGCAGCCUUAAAGAGGCAGUGGGCUGAGGAGGCUCGCUCUGUGUUCAGAAAUUGGAACAGGGUUGUAGAAAGGAUGCUGUGUGGCUGUUAAAGUAAACUCCACCCAUUUUAGAAUUUUCCUUGGAAGCGGCCUCAAUGUCUAGAAAAGAGUGGGAAAAAUCUUUCCCCUUUUCAAAU